UUCGCCCUUUUCCGGUUGAUCCCGCCGGAAGCUACUGCUAUCGGGAUUCGAUUAAGCCAUGCGAGUCGAGAGGGUUCGGCCCUCGGCUGACGGCUCAGUAACACGUGGAUAACCUGCCCUCAGGUAGGGGAUAAUCUCGGGAAACUGAGGAUAAUACCCUAUAGACAUCCUUUGCUGGAAUGCUUGGAUGUUCAAAGGCGACGCCUGAGGAUGGGUCUGCGGCCUAUCAGGUAGUAGUGGGUGUAACGGACCCACUAGCCUACGACGGGUACGGGCCUUGAAAGAGGUAGCCCGGAGAUGGACUCUGAGACACGAGUCCUGGCCCUACGGGGCGCAGCAGGCGCAAAAACUUCGCAAUGCGGGAAACCGUGACGAGGGAAUCCCGAGUGCUCAUACAAUGUAUGGGCUUUUAUGAUGUGUAAAGAGCAUUAGGAAUAAGGGCUGGGUAAGACCGGUGCCAGCCGCCGCGGUAAUACCGGCAGCUCUAGUGGCA
RNAcentral lists this ribosomal RNA (493 nucleotides) under uncultured archaeon. RNAcentral describes it as "bacterial SSU rRNA". It matches the Rfam family "Archaeal small subunit ribosomal RNA", at positions 1 to 493 of the family's 1478-position model. The record is from RNAcentral.